CAUAUAAAUGCCAAGUAUAGUGUGUACUCAGAGAAUGCAAAUCAUUCUCUGAGUACACAUUAUACUUUGUCUUUACAGGUGUUGGGCAAACUCAAAAUGAAUAUAUCAAGAGUAUUCAGGCUAAGAGUCUGAAACAAGAACAUGGGCUGCUGAACUGCACAAGAAGUUAAAACCUGGGAGAAAAGUGUGACAGAGGACUAUUCCUGGCCUGAAGAGAAGUUGCAGGUUUAUACCAAUCCAUUGUUCAACUUCUUUUCUUGUUUUUAAUUGAUGUGGAAAAUCUGAAGUCAUAAAAUGCUGUGUGACUACAGGAUGACAGAAAAAUAUAGCAGGAACACCUCAGGCCAUAUUUUCAUCCCUUUCUUGAGGCUUAUAUGGAAAGGGCAGUCCUGGCUGAGGUCUGUGGCUGGAGGGAGCUGCCUGAAAAGCACCUGGAGAGCAAGAACUGGAGAAGGAUCCUCACAACAGAACCCCUGAGUGACCUCACCUUGUCUACCCAAAAGAUGGAGAGAAGGCACCACACAGAGUCUGGAGGUGAGUGAUCCACAGCCACUGCAGCUCCCACAGAGCUCAAAGCCACUGCUGCACUCCUGCCUUGUCCUGCAGCUGUCACAAGGCUCUGCAAGUCCCUGUGUUAUUGCAGCAAUGAAAUGCGUCAAUAAAAGAGAGACCUGGAUCCUCCCCGGUCA
RNAcentral lists this long non-coding RNA (689 nucleotides) under Junco hyemalis (dark-eyed junco). RNAcentral's name for it is "lncRNA (ENSJHYG00000004025.1)". Lineage: Eukaryota; Metazoa; Chordata; Aves; Passeriformes; Passerellidae. The record is from RNAcentral.